This 70-nucleotide transfer RNA is filed under the name Anolis occultus. Its description in RNAcentral is "tRNA-Trp". It matches the Rfam family "tRNA". Rfam says of the family: Transfer RNA (tRNA) molecules are approximately 80 nucleotides in length. Their secondary structure includes four short double-helical elements and three loops (D, anti-codon, and T loops). Further hydrogen bonds mediate the characteristic L-shaped molecular structure. tRNAs have two regions of fundamental functional importance: the anti-codon, which is responsible for specific mRNA codon recognition, and the 3' end, to which the tRNAs corresponding amino acid is attached (by aminoacyl-tRNA synthetases). tRNAs cope with the degeneracy of the genetic code in two manners: having more than one tRNA (with a specific anti-codon) for a particular amino acid; and 'wobble' base-pairing, i.e. permitting non-standard base-pairing at the 3rd anti-codon position. Lineage: Eukaryota; Metazoa; Chordata; Lepidosauria; Squamata; Anolidae. The record is from RNAcentral.
UAGAAACUUAGAUUUAAACAAACCAAGAGCCUUCAAAGCUCAAAAUAUGGGUGUAACCCCCAUAGUUUCU